Non-coding RNA from Tephrocybe rancida, 94 nucleotides. Lineage: Eukaryota; Fungi; Basidiomycota; Agaricomycetes; Agaricales; Lyophyllaceae. The record is from the annotation of a GenBank genome assembly.
GGCCGACUAGCUCAGCUGGUUAGAGCGUCGUGCUAAUAUUCAGGCUAAGCCUGGUAUUACGCGAAGGUCUUGGGUUCGAUCCCCACGUUGGCCA